ACCUUCCAUUUUGCUUCUUUGUUGCUUAAUCUCUUGCGGCUGUUUCAUAAGUUAACAUGUUUAGCAAAUGCUCCUAAUAUACACACAACGAUAUUUUGUAGUAAUAUAUAUGCAAUAUGGGUGCACACACUGCAGAGGAUGUUUCGCUCAGCCAUGGUGCCUUGUAGCAAAUGCCCUUGUGACCAUCUGUCUUCUGCAUAUUUAUGGCAGUUUUGUGGAAAGCCAGGAGAGUCAGCAUUAGGGUGUCUUUUUGCAAGACAAAAUGAAACAAACCCAGGAGGAUGUGUUUUGUUGAACCUACUGAAGUUGCAAAGAACCUGUGGCCGUCCAUGCAGUCACCAAUUGACUUAAAUGGGCAUGUUGAGACUGUUGCUCCCCUAUUGAAUUGUACUGGGUCAUGAUCAUGGUGUUCAUGGAGUUGGGUUUUUCAUCAUCUGCCAAAUUCUCACUGGGUCCAAGAAAUAUCUGCUCUUAAUGGGUUUUUUUGUUCCAUGACCUAGCAGUGGGCUGCUCCUAUUUGUAGCCCAAAAGUAGGUCAUUGACCCAAAGCUGAAAAUGAUCUUGUGUUGUUUUAACACAUUGGUUAUGCCUUAAGGUAGACACUUUCCUGGUGGUCUAGAACACUUUUUGCUGCUUCAAUCUAAGGCAUCUGGUUCUAUUGUGACAAUCAUAAGGAUUGGCUCCUUUGUGAAACAUGGAGCGACAGUACACUUUGACUGUCAGUCUUUUCCAGGCAAAGUGUGAAUCUGACUCCACAUGAAACCUAAUCAAGGAAGGGGAGAGAAUGGAGAAGAACCUGCCACAGCUGUGCUAGCCCAGGGCCAGCUAGGGGCAACCUAGAGAAGGCUGGAACAUGGGCAAGUCAUAACAUAGCAAGUCAUAACAUUGGUCCAUCUAGCUCAGCAUGGUCUAUCCUAACUAGUGGCCCCUUUCUAAGGUUUCAGGUGAGGCGAACAUUCUCAGCUCCUCUUGGAGAUGCUAGGAAUUGAACCUGGAAUGUUCUGCGCACAAAGCAGACUUGGUUGAGCACAGCACCAGUGGAUAGUGCAUGAGUUGGACUGCUGUGGUGGCCAUCUUGCCUCUCACUGAUUUCCUAUUCCUCUCUCUCAGUCUUGAUGGAAACCACAUUGAGUCCUAUCAGGGGAAAAGGCGGGCUAUAAAUAAAUGUAUAAUAAUAAUAAUAAUAAUAAUAGUAAUAAUAAUAGGUUCUCCUUGCCCAAUCAACCUUGUCUUACCGACAUUCUUCCUCUAGUGGGGUGCACCCAUUAUUUAUAUAAAUUACUAUUCAAUAAUAUAGUUACACACUACUUUCCCCAAGCUGGUGUAACUGAGACAGCUUUUGUGGUAGGUUUUCCAGUGUUACAUUCAAACCCACAAAACACCACACCAGGUUCUGUCUUCUAAGACUGCCUGAGGCAGCCCUUGACUUGCGGACCUCUAGGUGGUAUUGAGGCUCCGAUUCCCACCAACCCUAGCAAGCUUUGCCCAUUGUUAGGUACGAUGGGAGCUGUAGUUCAACAGCUAGAGGUCACCAACUUGGGGAAGGCUAGGCCGAAGGUGGAGGAUUUGGUAGUGUGCAUGGAAAGUUGUCAAUGUCCUUUCAGAUGGUAAAGGCAGCCAUGUGGCUGUCCUUGAGAUGGACCCAGGAUAUAAUAAGUUGAUGUCAGGUGCCGUAAUAAAAAGGGUUAUGAAUAGAGGCCCUGUUAGGGUCUUACUUCCAAGACGUGUGAGGAAAGGGGGAAGUACAAUGCUUCUCUUUUGAAGCUAAAAGUACAGCCAAAAUGGCACCCCCAUGUCAACUGGUUUUCUCUCCCUGCCAAAAAAAUCGCUAGGAUCUCUUUCGCUUGCAUGUCACAAUUUGGAGUGGAGAUUGUAGGGGUGGGGAGUCUUAAAAUGAUGUCGAAAGGCUGUAGCUGUGUGGUAGAGUGUCUGCUUUGUAUGCAUAAGCUCCCAGGUUCUGGCAUCUCAGGGUAGGUUUGGGAAAGAUCUCUGCCUGAAAUGCUCUAGAGCUGUUGCCAGUCCGUGUAGACACCACUGUACUAGAUGGGCUAAAGGUUUGAGUCUGCGUAAGAGAGCUUCUUGUUUACCUAAGCCAAUGCAAGAGGGGAGGUGGAGAACUCUGCAGAAGAUGUGUUCAGCAGCACUUUUCUUAAAUUUCAGGGUUCAUCAUUUCAGCCUCUAUUUAUUGCUUUGGAGAAAGACACGGAGAGGUGAUCUCCCUGAAUAUGAAACAAACAAACAAAACCAGUCUUUGGGUAUGAAUGAUUAAGUUUUAAAAUUGCCAUCUGAAUUGGAUCAGCAUCCUCCAUUUCUGUUUUGGGUGCAUCGAUUUUUAGUAAAAAAAAAAAAAAGUAUUGUUUAGCUCAUUAAUGGUCUCUGAUUCCAUUUUUUUCAUCUAGGAAGCAUGAACGGGGACUUGUUGUGCAAACUGAGUUCCUUUUGGGAAGGGUUGUGAGGAGCAAAUUCUGACAUAUGAAGGAUUUGUAGUAUGUAUUAUUAUAUUUUCCAGGGGGCGGGUUUGGGGUGGUUAAUGUCUUAUGGGAGCCUAAAUUAUUUUUCUCUACCUCAUAUGUACAGCUUUGUUUAGGUAUAAAUCUGAUUCUUGAGUGACUGUGGAGAAUGUAUUUAAAUUAUUUAACAUCUUUGUAUAACAAAUGAGAACAAAUGAAACAAUAAAUGUAUUUUAAAUU
This 2690-nucleotide long non-coding RNA is filed under the name Podarcis lilfordi (Lilford's wall lizard). Lineage: Eukaryota; Metazoa; Chordata; Lepidosauria; Squamata; Lacertidae. The record is from RNAcentral.